AAGGAUUUAAGUUAAGCAAACUUUCAACCUUCAAAGUUGACAUUAUAGAACAUUUAUAAGCCUUA
Molecule: transfer RNA, 65 nt
Filed under: Cerambycidae sp. 5 KM-2017
Lineage: Eukaryota; Metazoa; Arthropoda; Insecta; Coleoptera; Cerambycidae
Description: tRNA-Trp
Source: RNAcentral